RNAcentral lists this long non-coding RNA (396 nucleotides) under Serinus canaria (Common canary). RNAcentral describes it as "lncRNA (ENSSCAG00000011969.1)". Lineage: Eukaryota; Metazoa; Chordata; Aves; Passeriformes; Fringillidae. The record is from RNAcentral.
CAGUGUCCAGAGUCUCCAAGUGCUCCAUUAUGACAGAGAGCUAGCACUGCCUGCUGCAUCAGGAAAGGAAUCCUGCUCCCAGAGAAAAAUGCAGUUAUGGAAAUCUGUCUUUUUAAUGCUGCCACAAAAGGAUAAAGUGCACUUUGCAAAGAUCUGGUCUCUCCAGACUUACAGUUCUACCUACAAAUGGGGAACAAAGAGAUGACAUCGACUUUUAUUUCAGAAAAAGUCACUCUCCAGUGAGAGAAACAAGGUCUUCCCAAACUUUGCUGAUGACAAAAGGCAAGGAAGGGCAAUUGAUGAACAUCAUGCAGAUGUUUACAGAGCUGUUAAGAUUUAUGUGUGAAGACUGUUCAACCCUGAAGAUGUAGUGUUUUCUAUAAGGAAGAAACUGAC